GAUAAUUUAUCUCCGUGUUGUAGCUAACGCGUUAAGCACUCCGCCUGGGGACUACGGUCGCAAGACUAAAACUCAAAGGAAUUGACGGGGACCCGCACAAGCGGUGGAGCAUGUGGUUUAAUUCGAUGCAACGCGAAAAACCUUACCACUCCUUGACAUGGAGAUUAGAUCCUUCUUAACAGAAGGGCGCAGUUCGGCUGGAUCUCGCACAGGUGCUGCAUGGCUGUCGUCAGCUCGUGUCGUGAGAUGUUGGGUUAAGUCCCGCAACGAGCGUAACCCUCAUCCUUAGUUGCCAGCGGGUAAGCCGGGCACUUUAAGGAAACUGCCGGUGGUAAACCGGAGGAAGGUGGGGAUGAUGUCAAGUCAGCACGGCCCUUAUGGGGUGGGCUACACACGUGCUACAAUGGUGACUACAAUAGGUUGCAAUGUCGCAAGGCUGAGCUAAUCCGUAAAAGUCAUCUCAGUUCGGAUUGUCCUCUGCAACUCGAGGGCAUGAAGCCGGAAUCGCUAGUAAUCGUGGAUCAGCAUGCCACGGUGAAUACGUUCUCGGGUCUUGUACACACUGCCCGUCACGCCAUGGGAAUUGGCUUAACUCGAAGCUGGUGCGCUAACCGAAAG
RNAcentral lists this ribosomal RNA (618 nucleotides) under Anaplasma phagocytophilum. RNAcentral describes it as "bacterial SSU rRNA". It matches the Rfam family "Bacterial small subunit ribosomal RNA", at positions 827 to 1445 of the family's 1533-position model. Lineage: Bacteria; Pseudomonadati; Pseudomonadota; Alphaproteobacteria; Rickettsiales; Anaplasmataceae. The record is from RNAcentral.